Molecule: small nuclear RNA, 164 nt
Organism: Sorex fumeus (smoky shrew)
Lineage: Eukaryota; Metazoa; Chordata; Mammalia; Eulipotyphla; Soricidae
Product: U1 spliceosomal RNA
Exons: 1
Source: RefSeq, a predicted model, not a curated record
AUACUUACCUGACAGGAGAGAAACCAUGAACAUGAAGGUGGUUUUCCAAGACAAUGGAUUAACCAUUGCACUUUGGAUGUUAUGACCCCUGAAAUUUUGCCAAAUGUAGGGAACUGGACUGAAGAAUUUAUGGUAGUGGGGAACCAUAUUUGUACUCUUCCCCU